AGCGUCAUUACGACCCUCAAGCACUGCUUGGUAUUGGAUGUCAACCAUCGUGGUGCAUCUCAAAAGUAUUGGCAGUAGCAUUCAGCUUCUAGCGUAGUAAAUUUCUCGCUUUGGAGUGAAGUGUCUUAUUGCUAGGGUAGAACCCCUAAUUUAUCAAAACGGUUGACCUCGGAUCAGGUAGGGAUACCCGCUGAACUUAA
This 200-nucleotide unclassified non-coding RNA is filed under the name soil metagenome. RNAcentral describes it as "partial contains internal transcribed spacer 2 and large subunit ribosomal RNA". The record is from RNAcentral.